Molecule: long non-coding RNA, 287 nt
Filed under: Eucalyptus grandis
Lineage: Eukaryota; Viridiplantae; Streptophyta; Magnoliopsida; Myrtales; Myrtaceae
Description: long non-coding RNA (EGRA_LNC000069)
Source: RNAcentral
UCAUCAGGGUCCUCCUCUUCAAGUUCUUUCUCCUCAGAUUCCUCAUCAGGGUCCUAAAAUGUUGUCCCACAAUUGGGAUGAGACUAUGUCUCAACAAGUUCUACCUCUUAAGACCCGAUUAGGAAGCCAAUACACCUUAGGGUUGCCUAAGCACAACACGAGUCGGAGGACUUACCUUGGUCUCAGUUCCUUCCUGCAAGUCAGUAUAUAUAUCAGAUAUACAUGAACACAUUACAUCACAUCACCUAAUCAAUUGCGAUAGAACUAUCAAUCAAUCGACCUAGUCG